UUUGCCCACACAUGGGAUCAAUAGGGUACCAUAACGAGGAAGAUCGUAGCGGAAUACGAAAGAUUAUUGAUCGAAUAUAUUAAUAUAAUAGAUUACCCUUUGAACUUAAGCAUAUCAUUAAAAGGAGGAGAAGAAACUAACUAGGAUUUCUUUAGUAGCAGCGAGUGAACAAGAAACAACCCUUGAUUGUAAUCCUUAUGGAGCUGUAAAUCAUAUAUUUUAUUUCUUAUUUCGUAGAGGAUGUAUAUCCGUUAUAAAUGAGAUAUAUAAAAGUAAUUGAGUAGGGCUGCUUGGUAGUGCAGUUUGAAUAUAGGUAGAAUGAGAUAUCUAAGGUUAAAUAUAAUGGUACACCGAUAGCAAAUAAGUACUGCGAAGGAACUUGUGAAAAUGUGUGGGUUAUAGCCUUAUUUUUAAGGACCCGUCCUGAAACACGGACCAAGGAGAUUAUAAUUAUAGCGAGAUAACAAUGUAGUCGUUAUUAGCUUGAUAAGUUAUAAUUAUAAGACCCGAAACACAGUGAACUAUACAUGUUCUGGUUGAAGAUAAGCAACAGUUUAUUGGAAGACCAUAAUCAUUCUGACGUGCAAAUCGAUGAUUUAAGAUGUGUAUAGUGGCGAAAGACCAAUCGAACUGUGUGGUAGCUGGUUCACAGCGAAAUGUCU
RNAcentral lists this ribosomal RNA (662 nucleotides) under Vairimorpha apis. Its description in RNAcentral is "LSU rRNA". The stretch from base 73 to 662 matches the Rfam family "Eukaryotic large subunit ribosomal RNA", at positions 1 to 971 of the family's 3401-position model. Lineage: Eukaryota; Fungi; Microsporidia; Nosematidae. The record is from RNAcentral.